AGUCACCGCAGUUUCUGGAGCCAUUCACCCACAGGCUCGCAUCACGGUGGCUUCAAGUUGGUGGUGCGUCCCUUGGGCCCUCACCCGCCGGACUCCUACUUUCAAAUCUUAAGCCCCACAUUGUGGGAACCUGUUCAGGUCACUUCAGUCUAGGCCCUGGUGUUUAGGCUGGGGGAAGCGGGAGAGCUCAUGGGUGAUGAAGCCGUUUCUGAAAGCCAGUGUGGUUCCUGUGGCCACAAAAGUGCUUAUGGAUCAUACACAGAGUAAUGUGACCUUUGAGGAAGUGGCCAUGCACUUCUCCUGGAGGGAAUGGAGUCUCCUUGAUGAUGUUCCGAAACUCCUAUACUGCAGUGUGAUGCUGAGAACUUUUCACUGAUGGCCUCAAUGGGGUAUCUUCUUCCAAAAUUGGAACUGAGCUACCUGAUGGAAAAUGAGCAAGAUUAUUGUGUGGUGAAGAGAGGCCUCUCAUAAAGUUCCUGUCCAGAUGUGCCUUCUCUCUGGAUCCACAUUUCUUCUCUCAUCACAGAUCUUUCACCUGGUAUCACUUUUUGUCAUCCUUAAAUAGAAUUUUCUUUAAGAAUUUC
This is a long non-coding RNA of Homo sapiens (human), 584 nucleotides long. Ensembl annotates it as long intergenic non-protein coding RNA 1801. The record is from Ensembl. Lineage: Eukaryota; Metazoa; Chordata; Mammalia; Primates; Hominidae.